RNAcentral lists this ribosomal RNA (254 nucleotides) under uncultured bacterium. RNAcentral's name for it is "partial 16S ribosomal RNA". It matches the Rfam family "Bacterial small subunit ribosomal RNA", at positions 524 to 776 of the family's 1533-position model. The record is from RNAcentral.
UACGUAGGGGGCGAGCGUUGUUCGGAUUUAUUGGGCGUAAAGAGCUCGUAGGCGGCUUGGCAAGUCGGGUGUGAAACCUCCAGGCUCAACCUGGAGACGCCACUCGAUACUGCCAUGGCUAGAGUCCGGUAGGGGACCACGGAAUUCCUGGUGUAGCGGUGAAAUGCGCAGAUAUCAGGAGGAACACCGGUGGCGAAGGCGGUGGUCUGGGCCGGCACUGACGCUGAGGAGCGAAAGCGUGGGUAGCAAACAGG